GCUUGUUCUCCAUGGUGUAGAUCACCGGGGGCUUCUCCCUGCCCUCCUCCUCGGCGGCCGCCGCCGCGGCGGAGUCCAUGAGCAGGAGGGGUCCUCAGCCCCGGUUCCCCCGCCCGCUGGGCGCCAUGGAAACGCCGCCGCCACCGCUCCCCCUUGCCGGGGGACUGGGACGAACCGCUCCGCCUCGGGGCCUGCUGGCGUGUCCCCCCCACCUCCCCCCACCCCCUUCCCCGCGUCCCCGCAGCGCCGCUCCGGAGGGGAAGGCGGGCGAGCUCAUCCGCUUCCUGGAUCACCGGCUGAACAUUACCGCUUCCGGGGAGCGACGCGGCCCGCCGGCGAGGGGCGACGGCGCCCGGGUGCAGCGCGGCCGCACAAGAGUUAACCUGCAGAGGGGUGAAAGGAAGGGGAAGCGCGGGGCCUGAGGGAAGCCGGGCAGGGGCGGCGGCGGGAUGCGCCUGCGCGGAGCCGAUGGAGCACAGCCCCUUCCCCGUGGUCCCCGUUCCUCCCCGCGCCAGGUUUCUUCAGAAGUAAGAACUUAGAGGAUUUAUUUAGAUUUUCUCAAGUGGAAGUAAAAAAAAAGAUACAGAAGAUCAUACAGAAAGGAGUCUACUACUACUUAAUACUGCUAGGUUUUGGACUUCCCAGUUCAAGAGAGAGACAGGGAUCUUCUGGAGAGAGUCCAGUGGAGAGCCACAAGGAUGACUGCAGGACUUGCACAUCUCUCCUGUGAAGUAAGACUGAGAGGCCUGGGGCUGUUUAGAAGAUAAGGCCGAGAAGGGAUCUUAUCAACAUCUGUAAGUACCUGAGGGGUGGGUGUCAAGAUGAAGGUGUUGGUCUCUUUUUGGUCAUACACAGUGAUAGGACAAGGAACAACAUGUACAAGCUGUAGCACAGGAGGUUCCACCUCAACACGAGUAGAUAGUUCUUUACAGUGAGGGCAAUGAAACACUGGAACAGGCUGCACAGAGGUGUUGUGGAGUCUCCUCUGGACACUUUCAAAAUCUGCUUGGAUGCAUUCCUGUGCAGCCUGCCCUGGCCAGAGGGUUUGGAUGCAAUGAUCUCUGGAGGUGCCUUCCAACCCUUAACAUUCUGUGAUUCUGUCAAUUUUCCCAACAAUGUUAUAAAUUCUUGUAGGGAUUUCUCACCUUUGAUACUUCUGGUAACUAGUAUUUUGGGAGAAAGAGAUCAUGAAGUUCAUGGACUUUCACUAGGAUGGCCUGCAGUUGCUCUUCUCAUUCACACUGUACAGCAUUUGGUAUUAAACAGAAAAAUCUACUUAACUAAUUGUGACUAAGUUUUACAGAAGCACAGGAGGAAACCUUAUCCCCAAAGACAAAUUGUUCAAGGAGUCAGAUAUAGAAGAAAAUACAUAGUUUAUGUUUUCAUUUCAAUAUGGAGACAGCAGCUAGAAGACUGGCACUGGAAUAGGCUGCCCAGGGAAGUGGUGGAGUCACCAUCCCUGGAGGUGUUCAAGCAAAGGCUGGAUGAGACACUUAGUGCUAUGGUCUGGUUGAUUGGAUAGGGCUGGGGGAUAGGUUGGACUGGUUGAUCUUGGAGGUCUCUUCCAACCUGGUUGAUUCUAUGAAUUUGCAUGUGAAAACAAGUAAAAACUAUGCUGGAAGCACACUUCUCUUUGUGACAUUGCUGGGUUGUAAUGAAUAAAACAUUUCUGCAUGCAGUCAUUUGGUUAUUUUUAACUGAAUGAAUUUUCAUAGGAAAAUCUGGUUUUAAUUAACUGAUUUAAUUAAUUCAGGUCCACCUGCAGAAACACAGGAGGAGAAAAAAGUUAUGAUUUUUACAUAUUGGAGCAUAAUAAUUUUGUAAAGUAAAUGCUGGGUUUCAAAAGUAACACUUUAAAAGGCAUCUUGGCUUCUUAAAUUAGUGUGUCAGCCACACAUCCUAAGCUCUAUGUAAUUUUUGCUUUUUAUUUCACGUUCUUGCAAAAGAAUCAUUGGCUGAAACUCACUGAAAAGCAACAAAACUAGCAUAGGGAGCCCACUUGCAUAUCAUCUCUAUUCAAGAGCAUUUUCAUCCCAUCCACAGAUUCCUGUCUGUAUUUCUGCAGCAGAAAAUGCUGUGUUGUGUGAACUGCCCCUCGUCACCAGAGUUAUGAAAAGAGGGAAUGCACAGAAAGUGACAGUAAACAUGCUGAAGAAAUGCAUUCUGUCCUUAUUCUGAAGCCCCUGAAUGACCACCAAGGCAUACCAGAAGGACAAGGUUGAAAUGUGGGAUCAGAAACCUUCAAGAAGGGUCAGGAAAAACUAACAGCCUAAAGAAAUGGAGAGAAAAGAGAAAUCAUUUAAGGAAGGCAUCUGCAGAAAAACUGGUCAAGGCAGAGCAGCUGGAGCAAGGAGGUGAGGUCCUGGCCUGGGAGGGAGGUUCAGCAGCAUGCUGCAUCUCUGAUGUAAUCUUUGCAACACCAGUCUUUAUCUUCUGGGACUCAAAGAAAUCUCUGUUCAUGGCAAUGCCUCUUUCUAGCACUCCCCACGAGUGGCUUUCCUCCUCUUCCAAAUGGCAUGAUUUGCUCUUUUCAACUACCUGAAGGGAGGUUAGAGUGAAGAUGAGGCCAGUCUCUUCUUGAUGACAAGCAACAGAACUAGAGGAAAUGGUUACAAGCUGUCUCAAGGCAGGUCCAGGAUGGAUAUCAGGAAAUAUUUCUUCACAGAAAAGGUUGUCAAACAUUGGAAUGGUCUGCCCAGAGCAGUGGAGUCACCAUGCCUGGGGAUAUGUGGGCCUGGUGCUUAGGGACAUGGUUUAGUGUUGACUCUUAGUGCUGAAUCAAGGGUGUGGCUGGAUGAACUUUGCGGUCUCUUCCAACCAGAUAUUCUGUGAAUAACUCUCAAAAAUCCUACUGCUCUUGAGAAAAUGCUACUAAAAGGCAGCGUAUUUGAGAUACCAGGGGUAGCUUCACCUUGCAGACGUGAGAAGAAAGGCAUUUGAACUCACAAAUCAAGUGCUGAGCAUGAUACAUGUACACUUACUGAGUUUAGUAAAGAGGAACAUUUUAAAGUGUGAAGAAAAGGGAUCUUAUUUCUCGUUCAUCUGAAAAGUUAACACUGUCCCAAGAGAACAGGCAGAAGCACAGAAAGUUAAGAAUUUGAAUGCUAGAUGUACUUUAGAGGUAAGACAGCACCACAGGAUGUCUCCAAGCACAACUCAAGUACAGAGCCUUUGGUACUACUGCUAGCAGGGUGACUGCAUUGCCAGAUAUGUGCAACUGAUGUCAUGGCCAGUCAUGAGGGCUUAGAGGGACCACGAUUUAUUUAACCUGUGUCAGUCAGAAAGCUCUCUGAUCACAGCUUGGGAGGUAAAUCACCAUUACUUAAGUUGUUUUAACAGGUAUACACUGCAGUCCAUGCACCAGCACACUCCCAGCUGGGGACAGUACAGGCUGGACAAAAGACAACCCUUUUCUUCAGCAUACAUUUGUGACUGGUAAUUUUUACUUCACAGUAUCACAGUAUCACCAAGGUUGGAAGAGACCUCUACUUGAUAUACUAUUCCAAACAUAAAUGUGUGUUCAUUUCUAGAAGUUACUUUACAAAACACAUUACAGGAUUUAUUAAUAAAAUUAACCUUUACCAAUUAAUUAUGGGUUUUACGUAACAAAGAACUACUCUGUUACAGUAUGUUACUUGUCUUCAUUUAUCUUCCUGCUUAAGCUUCUGAAGAGGGUGGGUGAAAUUGGUAAGAGCUAGACCAUAACAUUUCCAAUUUCAUUUUCUAGGCAAUAAGGAUUUCUGUUUGUCCAUCACAGCAGCCCAAAGAUGAGCUCACAUGUCCAAGGUAUAAUUAAAAACUGAUGGGAAAAAGAAAGGAGGGAAUCUUAAACAGAGUUCCAGUAUUAUUUAAAUACUCUUCUCUGAGUUCAUCAAGGGAACUCUCAUUUCAAAAUUAGCAUGUCAGGAGUUAGUAGUUAUUAAAUUGAAACACUAUUAAUUAAAAUUGAGAUUCCCUUGCAAAUAUAUGGUAGGCAGGUCCUCCCUGGGUAGCAAAAUGGGAAAGUACUACAAUAAUGAAGUUUGAAGAAGAAACUCAGGUGGUCAUGACAGUAAGCCUGAAAAUAAAUAUGCAAAUAAGAA
This is a long non-coding RNA of Pogoniulus pusillus (Red-fronted tinkerbird), 4082 nucleotides long. RefSeq lists it as uncharacterized. The record is from RefSeq and is a predicted model, not a curated record. Lineage: Eukaryota; Metazoa; Chordata; Aves; Piciformes; Lybiidae. The transcript is spliced from 3 exons.